Long non-coding RNA from Dicentrarchus labrax (European seabass), 409 nucleotides. RefSeq lists it as uncharacterized. The record is from RefSeq and is a predicted model, not a curated record. Lineage: Eukaryota; Metazoa; Chordata; Actinopteri; Moronidae. The transcript is spliced from 3 exons.
GCAGCACAUCUGGUGGACAGAUGUCUAUCUCUCCUCCAUCUCUUGUUUUCUCUCCCUCUGUACUUUUUCCUUUAGGCAGGCCUGGUGUUAAUCCCUCUCUCCUCCACCUGGACCAGACCACCCACACAUUGAGCAGGGCAGCGGCAGCCCACCAGCAGAGAGCAAGAUGGGGGGCUGACAACAGGGCCGAAUCCCUCCACCACGCUGUGAACACACCAGUGGAAUUUGGACGACGGCAGUGCUGAUGAUGAGAAAUAUGAGAGAGGAAGACACAAUACUCUGUUGUUCCACGCAGUGUCAUCGUGACCUUAGGACCGUAUAGGACGAUGAGCGUUGGUACCCUCACACCUGUGGCUGCGGCAGAUAUAUCCUGUUUGGAAAAGGCCUCACCGAACACCCUAAUCCAUCC